RNAcentral lists this small RNA (423 nucleotides) under Arabidopsis thaliana (thale cress). RNAcentral describes it as "ATSL251100". The record is from RNAcentral. Lineage: Eukaryota; Viridiplantae; Streptophyta; Magnoliopsida; Brassicales; Brassicaceae.
AAAAAGGCCGGUUCUUUUUUUAUCGAAGGACGAUUUUCUAGCAUUUUUUCACCAGGUUUAUCGUAAGUUAAUCAUGAGGCUAUUAUUCCAAUGAUUUUUUUAGGUUUUCAGGUAUUCCACAAACAUAAUAUUGUGUGCAAAAAAAAAGGCCGGUUCUUUCUUUAUCGAAGGACGGUUUUCUAGCAUUUUUUCAUCAGGUUUAUCGAAAUUAAGUUAAUCAUGAGGCUAUUAUUCCAAUGAUUUUUUUAGGUUUUCAGGUAUUCCACAAACAUAAUAUUGUGUGCAAAAAAAAAGGCCGGUUCUUUCUUUAUCGAAGGACGGUUUUCUAACAUUUUUUCACCAGGUUUAUCGAAAUUAAGUUAAUCAUGAGGCUAUUAUUCCAAUGAUUUUUUUAGGUUUUCAGGUAUUCCACAAACAUAAUAU